Molecule: ribosomal RNA, 450 nt
Filed under: uncultured bacterium
Lineage: Bacteria
Description: partial 16S ribosomal RNA
Rfam family: Bacterial small subunit ribosomal RNA
Source: RNAcentral
GUGGGGAAUUUUGGACAAUGGGCGCAAGCCUGAUCCAGCAAUGCCGCGUGCAGGAAGAAGGCCUUCGGGUUGUAAACUGCUUUUGUACGGAACGAAACGGUCCUGGUUAAUACCUGGGGCUAAUGACGGUACCGUAAGAAUAAGCACCGGCUAACUACGUGCCAGCAGCCGCGGUAAUACGUAGGGUGCAAGCGUUAAUCGGAAUUACUGGGCGUAAAGCGUGCGCAGGCGGUUUUGUAAGACAGGCGUGAAAGCCCCGGGCUCAACCUGGGGAUUGCGCUUGUGACUGCAAGGCUGGAGUGCGGCAGAGGGGGAUGGAAUUCCGCGUGUAGCAGUGAAAUGCGUAGAUAUGCGGAGGAACACCGAUGGCGAAGGCAAUCCCCUGGGCCUGCACUGACGCUCAUGCACGAAAGCGUGGGGAGCAAACAGGAUUAGAUACCCUGGUAGUCC